AGUGAACGCUGGCGGUAGGCCUAACACAUGCAAGUCGAACGGCAGCACAGGAGAGCUUGCUCUCUAGGUGGCGAGUGGCGGACGGGUGAGGAAUACAUCGGAAUCUGCCCAGUCGUGGGGGAUAACGUAGGGAAACUUACGCUAAUACCGCAUACGACCUUCGGGUGAAAGAGGGGGAUCGCAGGACCUCUCGCGAUUGGAUGAGCCGAUGUCGGAUUAGCUAGUUAGCGGGGUAAUGGCCCACCAAGGCGACGAUCCGUAGCUGGUCUGAGAGGAUGAUCAGCCACACUGGAACUGAGACACGGUCCAGACUCCUACGGGAGGCAGCAGUGGGGAAUAUUGGACAAUGGGCGCAAGCCUGAUCCAGCCAUACCGCGUGGGUGAAGAAGGCCUUCGGGUUGUAAAGCCCUUUUGUUGGGAAAGAAAUCUUUCAGGCUAAUACCCUGGGAGGAUGACGGUACCCAAAGAAUAAGCACCGGCUAACUUCGUG
This 490-nucleotide ribosomal RNA is filed under the name uncultured bacterium. RNAcentral's name for it is "partial 16S ribosomal RNA". It matches the Rfam family "Bacterial small subunit ribosomal RNA", at positions 29 to 507 of the family's 1533-position model. The record is from RNAcentral.